Solanum lycopersicum (tomato) is the source of this 419-nucleotide non-coding RNA. The record is from RefSeq and is a predicted model, not a curated record. NCBI's taxonomy places the organism in Eukaryota, Viridiplantae, Streptophyta, Magnoliopsida, Solanales, Solanaceae.
CGUUCUAUUUUUCUGCCGCGUGUAUUAUCUGGUUCUAAAACUAUAAAACAGAGAACCUAGUGUCCAUUUUAGAACUCAAUACUUCGACCGCCGGAACUUUUACGCUACCGGCGGCUAUCGGCAAAUCUAUCAUGAUUCAUUGGCAUUCGGCAUAUUCGAAUUCAACAACUCUAUUUUGCGUUUAAUUUUUUAGAAAAGUUCAUUGAACUUGUUGGUGUUCUUGAUGGUUCAAGUGACGAUGUCCGAUCAAAACCCUAACCCUAAAUCAAUUGAUCUAUCUAUCCAUUGACAUUCUGCUAUGAACUGGAUAGGAACCUAUUGACUUCAACGACAUGCUAUAUGUUAAAAGGGCUGGUCAAAUUCUGCCCCUAAUUUGUUGUACCAUAUCUACAUAUUUCUUUGCUGGAAUUGUUACCAAA